Molecule: long non-coding RNA, 3287 nt
Organism: Dermochelys coriacea (leatherback sea turtle)
Lineage: Eukaryota; Metazoa; Chordata; Testudines; Dermochelyidae
Exons: 4
Source: RefSeq, a predicted model, not a curated record
ACACAAGCCAAACAGCGUUCCUGGUGCAGAGUGGAACCGGUAACAACAAGGCACAGUGAAAUGAAGGGGCAAUCAGCCAGGGCAGACUGAGACAACUGCAGCAGGAUUAAAGCCCCUGCUGUUACCGACUCCAGGAGGGGUAUAACCCAAACCCCGCUUAGGGAAAGCACAGCCCCAAUGAGCCCAACUUCCUGCAAGUCCAAACCAGACCUUAGAGGCAUGGAACAUGAAGCAUCUUAAUGCUGAAUGGCAUUGGGCGUGAGACAGGUCUUGUCAGAGAACUCAUCCGCUAACCAGAUCAUAAUUGCUGACAUUACAGAGGCUCAUCUUCCACAAAGUGAUCAAGUUACCAUGGAAGGAGCAACCUCCCUCUACUCCAGUGGUCUACACCAAACUCCAGGUGUGGCGCCUGUUGUUAGACGACCUCUAGCAUAGAUUUUAACCACAUCUCUCCACGCUUACUGUAUGAUUGCUUCCAACAUUGUGGUGGACACUUAAAAUUUGUUGUUGUGGUCUAUGCUCUGACAGAAGAUCUAGCUCCUGCAGAAAAGGACACAUUCUACCACCAGAUAGCAGAAAAAAUCCAGUCAACUCCAUCACAUGACACACUGCUGGCACUUGCAGCUUUCAAUGCUAUGAAUGGAUGCAAUCAAACUGGGUAUGAAACUCUAAGAGAUCCCUUUGGUUUGAGUUUCCCCAAUGACAACACCACUUGGCUUUUGACAUUCUGUGCCACUGAGGGCUUGUCUGUUAUGGGCUCCUGGCUUAGGAACUGUAAUAAUCAUUGCGGAAUCUGGAUUUAUAACAAUGGAUGUGGUGCAAAAGAAAUUGACUACAUCCUCAUCAGAAAUUGUUCCAUAGUAAAAUCUCACUGGGUCUUUGGUGAUACAGAUUCACCAGCAAACUCAAGCCAUAAACGAGUCAUUGCUCAGCUUUCAUAUCAUCUUCCAGCUCCUCACAAGCCAGAUGUCCACCAACAGUAUGAUAUCUAGCAUCUUUCAAAUGAUCCUGCUGAAGCUACACACAGGGCAUUGAGGAUCAUUGAUGUAACCUCAGAACCUUCUAGAACCACCUAGAGUGGCGUAUGUAACGUUGUAUUACAUGAUGCCACUGGAACUUUCAGCUUCAGAUGAAUGUGCAAGAAACCUCUUUCUGAAGAGACCCUUAAUAUGUCAGUAAAAAAGGCAGAAGCAUACAGGCAGGCAUAUGUCCAAGAACAUAAACUGAUGAAAGGUGUCUUCCAGGACAUGGCAAAAUGUGACUGUGAUGCAUCAAUUCCCUGGCCAAUGAAUCAGAGGACAGCCUAAAGGACAACAAUCUGCAUCCUUCCUACAAAGCCACCGUGUGCCUGGUCUGGAAGCUAUAAACAGCUUUUCAACGUCCCCAUCACACAAGCAAACAGCUCUCCCUGCUCAUCAAUAGAUUGAGGUCCUGGACAGAUGGAAAACUCAAUAUGAAAGUGUGCUGAACCACAUACCUGCUGAUGACUGUUCAGAGCUACAUGACCUUGCAAACUGCACAGCUGCAGACCCAGGGGCAAACACAGAUCCUCUGUCAGUUGAGGAAGUAUAAAAGGCCAUCCAAAAGUUAUGGAAUGGACAUGCUGCUGGACCUGAUAAUGUUCCACCCAAACUGUUCAAAGAUGCCUUGAAACCAGGGAACAUUGGCCUGCAUCAACAGUUCUUAAAAGCAUGGGCAUCAGAAAUCCCGAGAAGAAGAUUCAGAAGAUGGAGUGGGAUUUAAUGAGAGCGGAGCAAGGCCUCUUAGUGCAACAGAAACUGUAAGAGCAAGUACUAUUCUACAGCCAGAGACUUUUCUAGACACCUUACAGCCGAUCUCUUUACUCGUGAUUUUGUUACAAGAUCCCCAUUUUUGGAAAGAGGCUGUUUUCAAGACCAGUAUGAGAUUAGUAACUUGUGUUGUCUUCUCUGAAUGCAUAGGUACUAUUCUGAUCAUAGAUACUAUGAAAAACAUAAGAUAGAUAGCUACGAUCCAUUUGUGAGACAUAUAGGAAUGAAUAGUUUGAUAAUUGCAAAAUAUGGUUUUAGAUCCAAGGUAUUAGUCCAAAUCCAAGUUCAGUUAACGUCAAUGGAAAACUGUGAGGGGCUGAUUGGGCCUUUCAGAAUAAAAGGCUGUUACAAUCUGGUUAUAACUUCUAUACUUUUAAUUUUAUCUGUUUGUUAAAACAUUUAUAAGUUGCAGAUUGUCUAACUUUUGGGAAUCAGAUGUUGCAGCACAAGUUUUUAAGAAAUAUGAUAGUGUUUUGAGGAGAUUUUAAUAUCCAUUGUCCAUUAAUUCAUACAGUUUCCCCUGCACUACCCUUGAACUGAGAUUGUCACUCUAUGAUAGAACAUUGUGUAUUCAAAUGUUUUUUUUGUUCAACUCUGCCAAAAUGAAAUUGAAUAACCUGGAUAUUUUCUGAGCAUAGUACUAGACAAUAAAUGUACCAUAUUGUAUCUGAACAUGUAAAGAGGCAGGCUCAUUUAAUGGGCAGUGAGGAAGAGCUCUUUGAAAGAUCCAUGGAAAAAUCUGUAAUGAUUGCAUAAAAGAGAGGAAGGUUCAACUUUAUAUUUAAACUCAGUUGCUGUUAUGAUGAUCAACCCAGUUUUCUGUGCUGUUUAAAAACAUUUUUUUUUACUGUUCAAAUGCAGAGUUUGAUAUGUUACAAACUAUCAAGCUGAUGAUAUUCAUGGGCCUUUGAAUCUCAAAUUCUUCUAUGCUUCCUUUUGAAUUUUGUGUUAAGUCAGGUCUUAGCAGAAAAGGGAAGAAAUCACGGAUAAUUAAAGCUUAAAAUAUUCUCAUUUCAUGGUGUGGCUAACAAGUGAAACUACAAGUAAUGAUGUAAUCUAACAUGUCAAAAAAGAAAAUGAAAAGAGGAGACAGAAGGCAGGACAGAGCCAAGGGAUGCAAUGUGCCAUGUUAUCUUCUAAUUAACUAACUGAUCCUUUAAACUGUCAAACUCAGCAAGGAACUUCAUGGCCUGGCUUCUUAUUAAUAUUCAUAUUAGGGCACUGGAAGCUAUGAUUUCAAUCCUACUGUUUAUAGUUAAACAUUUUUAUUUUAAAUUCCUGGCUAACCAAGGUCUCAACAGCUUCACAUUCAUAGGGAAAUGAAGGCAGGCCACCCUGAAUUGUAUAAUCCACUGCUGGGGAAAAUUCUCUGAGGAUGCAUAUUGAUUUCUGAAUUAUUAAGGGAGCUUGUAUAUUGAAAAAACAAUUAUUUUUCUUUUUGCUAUAAGCAGCCACGUUGUUAAUCACAUUGAGCUCUGCAUUGUUAAAUAAAAGAAA